AAGAACUUCUAUGUGAGUGACCCUUUUCCAUUGGUAAAAAGGGAACUCGAAUAAGAAGCCUGACUCUGAGGUGCCUGACGCAUUUCCAACCCGCGAACAUUAGACGCCGCAGCCGGUUGGGUAGCUGCGCGUGUCGGCCAUGAGGUAGGGCAGUGGCAGUAGACCGUUUCUCGCUAAAAAGUGGCGUUUGCCGGAUCGUUUAGCCAGCCCUACCGUGGCGCGACACCCGACCGAGGAUGAAGGGGUCAGAAAUGGCCCCGCCGUCCCUUCUUAUUCUGUAUAACAACAUUAAAGAGCGGGCCGGCGGACAGGCGAGUUGCUGCGCUAUACUGCUCUAGUCCUCGAACUGGGUAGUGCGUGGUAGCCGUUGGUGGUCCGCGUCGGUUAAACCGCAAUGGGAAAUAAUUAAUUAAGGCUUGUGGCGAGUAGGUCGGUCACCCACCCGACCCGUCUUGAAACACGGACCAAGGAGUCUAACAUGUGCGCAAGUCAUGGGGUCUUGCUUAGGCCCAGAGGCGUAAUGAAAGUGAGACUUAGCUUUUCUUCUUAGAGGAAUUUUUUAUAAGUUGGGAUUUCCCGAGGAGAUUGGAAGCCCGGGAAAGCACCAACGACCCGCCCUAGUAACUUGAUUCAAUUAUAAAGUGUGGACGGCGUUAGAGCGCACACGUUGGGACCCGAAAGAUGGUGAACUAUGCCUGGGCAGGACGAAGCCAGAGGAAACUCUGGUGGAGGUCCGCAGCG
Molecule: ribosomal RNA, 741 nt
Filed under: Antrodiaetus sp. 2421_COW6
Lineage: Eukaryota; Metazoa; Arthropoda; Arachnida; Araneae; Antrodiaetidae
Description: partial 28S ribosomal RNA
Rfam family: Eukaryotic large subunit ribosomal RNA
Source: RNAcentral